GGUUGGCCAGGGGAAGAAAAUAGUGGCUGGGAAGUUGGGAAGAAAAUGCUUUUGUUGGAAAUUACAGAAAAGUGAGAGGAACUGGGGAUUGAAAAUGCUGGCAGUGAAGCACUCCUUUUGAGCUUCAUGAUGACAAUUAUGUUCUGAAGGCCAUGAAAUUUUGUGAGAGACUGCAAGACGAUCAUACUGCACACAAUUUUUCUGCCGAUGGUGGUGAAGGUUCUAGCAUGUCCGCCAUGUACCAACCACAAAUCAUGCCUACCCCAAGGACAAACACACCUGGUAGGCCUCCUACAUCACCACCUCUUCCUGGAAUAAUAAAAGCACGUAUCAAACAUGAGAACUAGUAAGCUUGCUUCAGGCUUUCAUCAUCUUGAUCUGAGUUAUAAUCUUAGUUUGUGUAUAUUGUGUAAAGUAAAUUGCCGGAAGCAGGUGGGUUCCUUACGAAGAUCCUCAUGUCAUUAGAUUUUACCCUUGUUUUAAGAAGCAUAUGGUAGUGAGCCGAUUAGUUAAUUUUGUCUGAGAACUUUGUAGGGGUAUUUAUUCCGGCUAGCUAUCUGCUUUGCAUAUUAGAAAAAGUUUCACCAUUGUAAUUGAUUUUUCCUAUUCACUCUCGCCUUAUGUGGUAGAAACAAUUUAUGUUCUAGGCAGGAGCCAGCUACAUACAGAAUUAAAGAAUUAAUUGAAAAAAUUAUGUCAUUUUCUGUCGUA
Non-coding RNA from Carica papaya (papaya), 711 nucleotides. Lineage: Eukaryota; Viridiplantae; Streptophyta; Magnoliopsida; Brassicales; Caricaceae. The record is from RefSeq and is a predicted model, not a curated record.